This 7117-nucleotide long non-coding RNA is filed under the name Homo sapiens (human). RNAcentral's name for it is "uncharacterized LOC100288069 (LOC100288069)". The record is from RNAcentral. Lineage: Eukaryota; Metazoa; Chordata; Mammalia; Primates; Hominidae.
GCGCGGGUGUUCGGCUACAUCACUGGGGCGCCAUGGUGCCUGGAGCUGGGCAGUUUUCUCAUCAGAGUGGGGACUGGUAAGAGUGACCUCCCCGCCAGGUUCUGUGUGUUGCCGGCUGAAGAAGGGUAGCUGAAAAAUUCAGACCCAGCACAGUGUUUAUGUUGGUCAAAAAUAGAAAACUAUGUCUGGCGCGGCCGAGGCGGGAGGACCCUUCAGGCCAAGAGCAGCCUAGCAACAUGGCGCAACCCCAUCUCUGUAGUCCUACCUCAGCCCCCCAGCUACUUGAACCCAAAGGUUCAAGGCUCCAGUGAGCUAUGAUCCCACCACAGCAUUCCAGCCUGCGAGAUUGAGAUGAUGAUUAUUCCCCACCUUCUAAGAGACAAAGACCAACGAGCCACCACAGCCACCAGUCCCAGAACCCGCCAAUGCUGGGGAACGGAAAAUGAGGGAGUUCAACUCUGGCCCUCACAAUCCAGUGGAGGAGACGCAACUCAUCUGCCUCUGUCCCUCUGGGCACGCCUCAUGCCAGGUGCAUCUGUGGACAGGGGCCAUGCUCCUGGGCUUCCAAAGUUGGAGAAAGCUGCCAGGCUCAGGUCUGAAGGCCAGAAUUCUACAGUAAGUCCUACUGAGUCAAGGUGGGAGCAGGGUCGGUAGCUUCCGAGGCUCUGCGGGAGAAUCUGUUUCCUGGCCGUAGAGGUGGCCUGCACUCCUCAGCCUGUGCUGCCCGUCUCGAAUGACUGGAGUUUCCUGCUUCUGUCACUACACCUCCCACCCUCUCCAUCACCUGCUCUGCUCUUACAAGGAUCCGAAGAAAUGGAAUCAUCGUAUCGCUGAUCUACGUAAACAAACUGAAGAAUUGUCUGAAAGAAAAUAUGACAUGAACUUAUGAAUUCAACAGGUGAAGAUUUACAACUUGAUAAAUCAACUUUGUCAGCUCGAGCUGUAAAAGCCAAAGGUCCGGUGAUGAUCCCAUACCCUUUUUUCCAGUCUCAUGUUGAAGAUUUUUAUGUAGAAGGCCUUCCCAAAGGAAUUUUUUUUUUUUUUUUUUGAGAUGGAGUUUUCACUCUUAUCGCCCAGGCUGGGGUGCAAUGGCGCAACCUUGCUGGUCACUGCAACCUCUGCCUCCUGGGUUCAAGAAAUUCUCCUGCCUUAGCCUCCCAAGUCACUGGGAUUACAGGUGCCCACCACCACACCAGGCUAAUUUUUGUAUUUUUAGUGGAGAUGCGGUUUCACCAUGUUGGCCGGGCCAGUCUCGAACUCCUGACGUCAAGUGAUCUUCCCGCCUCGACUCCUGAUAUCAAGUGAUCUUCCCGCCUCGGCCUCCCAGAGUGCUGAGAUUACAGACGUGAACCCAUGCCUGGCCAGGAAUUUUGUUUUUUAGGAAGGCUUUCUACUAAUGGAAUUCCUGGCCUUGAGAGGAUGUUACUUUAGAAGGAAAGGAUUUUUUUGUUAUUAAAAGAGCCACCUAAGCUGAAGAUUCCCUUGAGAACAAGUACUGUCCCUAGUUUCCCAGUGCUGGAAUAUAGAAAAUGGAUGGACAAGUAAAUCCCACUCAGCACCCAUAGUCCAGGCAUGGGGACCUCAACACACCUGAGCCCCAGACAUCACCUUUCAUUCUGGACCUACCAUGAAAGACUUCUGAAUCCAGGAAGAGAAACUGACUGGGCAACAUGUUAUUCAGAGAUGGCAUCUUGCUCUGUUGCUUAGGCUACAGUACAGUGACAUGAUCAUGGUUCACUGUAGCCUCAAACUCCUGGGCUCAAGUGGUUCUCUCACUUCAGUCUCCCAAGUAGCUGGGACUACAGACAUGUGCCACCAUGUCCAGGAAGUGAGCUCACAAUGACUCAAGCUGCCACAUACUGUUGAUUGUGAAAUGCCAGUUGAAGCAUAUGUCCUGCGAGCUUGGGGGUGCUACAAGUUGACCACUGCAGCAGUAAAGAUGACUCUGAAGAAUGGCGUGGGAUGGUUCCUUUCAAAUGCACUUGAGCAGCGGUCUCCAACCACAGGGCCACAGAGCUGGAGCUGGAUCUACCAUGAAAGACUUGUGAAUCCAGGAAGAGAGACUGACUGGGCAACAUGUUAUUCAGGUGGGAACAUCCAGUUGCAGGAAAACAAGCUUAACACGCCCACUGAUUCUACAUUAUGGGUCUCCCUCUGUUGUCCAAGGCUGGAGUGUAGUAGUGCUAUCGCAGCUGACUGCAGCCUCAACCUUCCAGGCUGAAGCGAUCCUCCCACCUCAACCUCCCACGUGGCUGAGACUACAGGUGCUUGCCACUAUGCCCAACUAAUAUUUGGAAUUUUCGUAUACGUGGAUUCCAGAGGGGUGACAGCAAAACGGUCUCCCUCUGUUGUCCAAGGCUGGAGUGUAGUAGUGCUAUCGCAGCUGACUGCAGCCUCAACCUUCCAGGCUGAAGCGAUCCUCCCACCUCAACCUCCCACGUGGCUGAGACUACAGGUGCUUGCCACUAUGCCCAACUAACAUUUGGAAUUUUCGUAUACGUGGAUUCCAGAGGGGUGACAGCGAAACGUGAGUGGGACCAUCCAGUUGCAGGAAAACAAGCUUAACACGCCCACUGAUUCUACAUUAUGCUCCUACCUCCCGGCAGCCUCUCCAGGCCCAGAACUUUCUCCAGUCAGCCUCUACAGACCAAGCUCAUGACUCACAAUGGCCUAUUUAGGCCCAUACCCUACGUCACGGCAGCCUCCGCAGAUGAGCCUACUGCCUCACAACAGCCUCCACAGGCACAGCUCCAUCGUUACAAUGGCCUCUUUAGACCCAGCUCCUGCCUCCCAGCCUUCUCUCCAGGCCCUGAACAUUCUCAGGUCUCCCUCUGUUGUCCAAGGCUGGAGUGUAGUAGUGCUAUCGCAGCUGACUGCAGCCUCAACCUUCCAGGCUGAAGCGAUCCUCCCACCUCAACCUCCCACGUGGCUGAGACUACAGGUGCUUGCCACUAUGCCCAACUAACAUUUGGAAUUUUCGUAUACGUGGAUUCUAGAGGGGUGACAGCGAAACGUGGGACCAUUCAGUUGCAGGAAAACAAGCUUAACACGCCCACUAAUUCUACAUUAUGCUCCUACCUCCCGGCAGCCUCUCCAGGCCCAGAACUUUCUCCAGUCAGCCUCUACAGACCAAGCUCAUGACUCACAAUGGCCUAUUUAGGCCCAUACCCUAUGUCACGGCAGCCUCCGCAGAUGAGGCUACUGCCUCACAACAGCCUCCACAGGCACAGCUCCAUCGUUACAAUGGCCUCUUUAGACCCAGCUCCUGCCUCCCAGCCUUCUCUCCAGGCCCUGAACUUUCUCAAGUCGACCUCACCAGGCCCAGCUCAUGCUUCUUUGCAGCCUCUCCAGGCCCAGCUCCUGCAUCUUGGUGGCCCCUCCAGGCCCAGCCUCUGCCUCCCGUCAGCCUCUACAGUCCCAAAGUCUGCCUCACAGCAGAUUCUUCACGCCCAGCAUCUACCUCACUGUGGACCCCCCAAGCCAAGCUCCCAACCUUUCAGCAGCUUCUACACACCUAGCUCCUGCCACCCAGUGGCCUCUUUAGGCCAAGCUCAUGCUUCACAAGGGCCUUUCCAGGCCCAACUUUUGUCUCAUGGCAACCUUCCCUGGCCAGAUUCCUGCCUGUCUCCCAGCAGCCUAGACAGGCCCAGGUCUUGCCUCACACUGGCCUCUCUACAUCCAGCUUAUGCCUCACGGUGGCCUCUCCACGCCCAACUCCUGUCCCAGGACGUCAUCUCCGGGCCCAAAACUUACUCAAGUCAGACUCUCUAGUCCCAACUGCUGCCUCCUGGUGGCCUAUGAAGGCCCAAAAUCUCCUCAAGUUGACCUGUCCAGGCCCAGCUCCUGCCUCCUGUCAGCGUCUACAGGCCCAACCUCUGCCUCAUGGGGGCUUCUCCAGGCCCACCUCUUCCUCUUGGCUGGGUCUACAGGCACAACUGCUGCCUCACAACAGCCUUUUUUGGCCCAGUUCCUGUCCAGCUCAUGGCGGCCAAUGUAGGCCCAAAACUUCCUCAAGUCAAACUCUCCAGGCCCACCUUCUGCUUCCCGGUGGCAUCAACAGGCCCAGCUUUGACUUGAGAACAGCCUCUGCAGGCCCUGCUCUUGCCUCCCAGGGGCUUUUUCCAGGCCCAGCUCUUGCCUCAUGGCAGCUGCCCCAGGCCAAAUUUCUGCCUGCCUGCCAGCAGCCUCAACAGGCACAGCUCCUCCCUCACAGUGGCCCAUUUAGGCCCAACUCAUGACUGUGAGUCCAUUUCCAGGCCUAGUGCCUGCCUCGUGGCUGACUCUUGAAGCCCAAAACUUCCUCAAAUCAGGCUUUUGCCCAACUUCUGUCUACUGUCGGACUCUACAGGUCAGCCUCUGCCUCACAGUGGACCCUCCAGACCCAGAUGGUGUCUCACUGUGGCAUCCUCAGGCGAAGCUCCUGCCUUUCGGCAGCCUCUCCAGGCCCAGCUCCUCCUGCCUCCCAGUGGCCUCUUUCGGCCCAGCCCAGCUCAUGCCUCCCGGCGGCCUUCCCAAGCCCCGCUUUUGACUUUCGGUGGCCUCUGCAGGCCUCGACAAGGCCCAGCCUCCUGCCUCCCGAAGGCCUGCACAGGCCCAGCCUCUGCCUCACAGCGGACUCUCCACGCCCAGCUAGCUGUUGCUUCACUGCGGCCUCCCGAGUCCAAAGCUCCUGCCUCUCGGCCGCUUCGGCAGGCCCAGCUCCCGCCUGCCAGUGGCCUCUUCAGGCCCAUGGGGCUCAUUCCUGACAACAGCCUUUCCAGGCCCAGUUUUUCCCUUCCGGCGGCCUCUCCGGGCCCAGAACCUCCUCAAGUCGGCCUCUCCAGACCCACUUGCACCCUCCGGGCGUUCUCUCCGGGCCCAGCUCUUCUUCCUGGUUGGGUCUCCAGGCCCGAUUCCUGCCUCUCAACAACCUCUUUGGACUCAGUGCCUACCCAUCUCCUGGCGGCCUUGGUCGGCCCACAGCUUCCUCAAGCCAAGCUCCCCAGGCCCAGGUCAGGCCUCACGGUGGCCUCUCCAGGAUGAGCUCCUGCCCUCCGAUGGCAUCUCCAGGCCCCAAAUGGUCUCCGGUCGGUGGGCUCCUCCACGCCAAGGUUGGGCCUCCCGGCGACCGCCGCAGGCCCAAGUUGUCCUGAAGUCAGGCUCUCCCGGCCCUGCCUCCCAGCAAGUAAGCAAGCUCUUUUGGCUCAACUCCUGCCCAGCUCCCAACCGCCUUUGUAGGCCCCGAACUUUCUCCAGCCAAGCUCUGAGGGCCCACCUCCUGCCUCCUGGUGGCCUGUACAGUUCUAGCACUGGUUGGAGAACAGCCUCUGCAGGCCCCUCCCUUGCCUCCCAGGGGCCUCUCCAGGCCCAGCUCUUGCCCCCACGGCGGCCUCCCGGGGCCAAGUCCCUGCCUGCCUCCCAGCAGCCCGCGUGCGGCCCAGCUCCUCCCUCACGGUGGCCUGUUGAUGCCCAACUCAUGCCUCUGGCACCCUGCCCAGAGGCGUGAGCCCCUGCCUCACACUGGCUCCUCCCACGCUGAGAGAGGUCAGUGUGAGCCCUUGCCUCACACCGGCCCCUCCCACGCGGACAGAGGUCAGCGUGAGCCCCUUGUCUCACACCGGCCCCUCCCACGCUGAGAGAGGUCAAUGUGAGCCCUUGCCUCACACCGGCCCCUCCCACGCGGACAGAGGUCAGCGUGAUCCCCUGCCUCAACAGGCCACCGUGAGGGAGGAACAGGAUCGCACUCGGGCUGCUGGGAGGUAGGCAGGGACUUGGGCCUGGGAGGUCGCGGUGGGGCGAGAGCUGGGCCUGGAGACUCCCCUGGGAGGCAACAGCGGGGUCUGCAGACGCCCUUCUCCAGCCGGAGCUGGGACUGUUCAGUCACUGGGAGAAGGGAUGUGGGUCUGAAGAGCUUGGUUGCAGAAACUUCGGGGUCUACAAACGCAGGCGGGAGCUGAGCCAAAAGAGCUUGUUUGCUGGGAGGUGGGAGAUGCAGCCAGGAGGAACAGCUGGGCAAUGCGGGAGGCAGAGGCCAGGCCUCCUCAAGUUGGCCUCUCAGACCCACUUGCAGCCUCCCGGCGCCCCCUCCGGGCCCAGCUCUUCCUCCCGGCUGCAUCUCCAGGCCGGACUCUGGCCCGACUCCAGGUCCCAACAACGUCUUUGGACUCAGCUCCUGCCCAGCUCCCAGCGGCCCUGGUAGGCCCACAACUUCCCUAAGCCAAGCUCCCCAGGCCCAGCUCAGGCCUCGCGGUGGCCUCUCCAGGCUCAGCUCCUGGCCCUCCGAUGACAUCUGCAGGCCCCAAAUGGCCUCCGGUCGGUGGGCUCCUCUAGGCCCAGCUUGGGCCUCCCGGCGGCCUCUGCAGGCCCAAAUCGUCCCGAAGUCAGUCUCUCCAGGCUUAGCUCCAGCCUCCCGGCGGCCUCUGCAGGCCCAAGUCGUCCUCAAGUCGGCCUGGAAGUGGGCCUGGAAGAGCAGCAAGUCGGCCUCCCUGGGCCCAGCUCCGUCCUCUCGACGGCCUCUCCAGGUGCAAAACUUCCUCGAGUCAGCCUCUCCAGGCCCAGCUCCUCCUGCCUCCCAGUGGCCUCUUUCGGCCCAGCCCAGCUCAUGGCUCUCGGCGGCCUUCCCAGGCCCCGCUUUUGACUUUUGGCAGCCUCUUCAGGCGCAGAACUUGAUCUCCAGUCGGCCUUUGCAGGCCCGGCCUCCUGCCUCUCGAAGGCCUGCACGGGCCCGGCCUCGGCCUCGGCCUCACAGCAGACUCUCCACGCCCAGCUAGCUCUCGCCUCACUGCGGCCUCCCCAGUCCAAAGCUCCUGCCUUUCGGCCACUUCGGCAGGUCCAGCUCCUGCCUGCCAGUGGCCUCUUUAGGCCCAGCUCAUUCCUCACGUCGGCCAUUCCAGGCCCCGUUUUUCCCUUCCGGCAGCCUCUUGGCCUCUAAUUUGUUUAUCUUUUGUGUAUAAAUCCCAAAAUAUUGAAUUUUGGAAUAUUUCCACCAUUAUGUAAAUAUUUUGAUAGGUAAUUUAUUUGGAGUGAGUUUCUGCGCCAAGCCCGAAUUUUUUAUUUUAUUUUCCUUAUUAUUUGGUGUUAAACAGGUUUAAUGACGGUCAUGGCAACUUUUUGGCACAAUGAAAAAUAUCGCCCACGA